AAAGGCCCCAUCGUGGAGAGGUGAGGCGCCAGCUCCACCCCACCUGCCCCCUCCUGCCUGCCCCUCCUCCACCUCUGCCCUUCUCUCCCCCAGUUACAUCGGGUUCAUCGAGAGCUACCGCGACCCCUUUGGUUCCCGAGGAGAAUUUGAAGGUUUCGUAGCUGUGGUGAACAAGGCCAUGAGUGCCAAGUUUGAGCGGCUGGUGGCGAGCGCAGAGCAGCUGCUGAAGGAGCUGCCCUGGCCCCCAACCUUUGAGAAGGACAAGUUCCUCACCCCUGACUUCACCUCCCUGGAUGUUCUCACCUUCGCUGGCUCCGGCAUCCCUGCCGGCAUCAACAUCCCCAACUACGAUGAUCUGAGGCAGACGGAAGGCUUUAAGAACGUGUCGCUGGGGAAUGUGCUGGCUGUGGCCUACGCCACGCAGCGGGAGAAGCUCACCUUUCUGGAGGAGGAUGACAAGGACCUGUACAUCCUCUGGAAGGGGCCCUCCUUCGAUGUGCAGGUGGGCCUGCACGAGCUGCUGGGCCAUGGCAGUGGCAAGCUCUUCGUACAGGACGAAAAAGGAGCAUUCAACUUUGACCAGGAAACAGUGAUCAACCCAGAGACGGGCGAGCAGGAUCUUUGGCUUUGAGGGGGCUGAUGCGGAGGACGUGAUCUACGUGAACUGGCUCAACAUGGUUCGGGCCGGGCUGCUCGCUCUGGAGUUCUACACACCUGAGGCCUUCAACUGGCGACAG
RNAcentral lists this small RNA (737 nucleotides) under Pan troglodytes (chimpanzee). RNAcentral's name for it is "retained intron". The record is from RNAcentral. Lineage: Eukaryota; Metazoa; Chordata; Mammalia; Primates; Hominidae.